UUGUGUCUCUCCGCCCGAAGCGUGGUCAUCGUUGCACGAGGGGUACGAAACACGUUGCAGCCGAUAUUAAGUUGCGAGUGGUGACAAAACACGUAGGCAUAGGUUCCUAAGUACCUUAUACUGCAUUCUGAGACCAAUUUCACGCUGACAGCAAGCUCACUCACAGUGUUCUUCAUAGGAAACGACAACAGCGUCGACAGCACUGUAUGUAAGUGUACUACGACAACAGCGUCGACAGCACUGUAUGUAAGUGUACUACGACAACAGCGUCGACAGCACUGUAUGUCGUGAUCUACAACUGGAUGCAGCUCAAGCCAACACUGACAUGUACCAUAUCACUAUAGAUGUUGAGCUGGUCAGCUCGCUGCCCGCCACACAACACAAUGGCAGGGGCAGCUUACAGAAAUAUGUCGGCGCAUGCACCCCCACCCCCCUUCCUCCACCCCCAUCAGUCAACCCUGUUUACAGAAACACAAUGUCUUCCAGGCCCGGCACACAGGCCACCCUCCACUGUAGCGUUGUGCUGGAUGUGGGGAGGGGGAGAUUCGGCUUCAUUGAUCUAGACAGGGAGGUUGUUUCAGCCAAGGUGGAUGUUGAGAGAGGGUCUCUUCUCCCCAUGUUUGGUGUGGGGCUGCCAGUCCCUUCACAGUCAACUUGAAGGUGAUCAGAGGGGUGGACACUAUGACUGACAUCAAGAAGUCACACAUUUAUAACGCACUGACAUAGGAAAUAAAAUAAAAAUGAUUUGUAAAUUUUAUUUAUUUAAACUGUAAAAUGGAAUGUAUUUGUAGUGAUUGAGGCUGACAUAGAAGUUGUCUUUUUAUGUGCUGUUUGUGUACAAGAAUGUGACAAGGUUAGCUAAAUGUGUUUUAGUCCACGAAAUCAUCAAAAGUUUGAAAACAUGAAUUUGUUGACACUAUUCUUCUCUAUUUUUAUUUUUUCAAAUUGUGAAUAUUGUUGUUAGAAUGUACCUGACUUGAGUACAUAAAUGUAACAAAGUUGACCAAAUAUUAAAAAGCGGCAUUUUGAAUCUACACACGUCUAGUUUACCUGCACCAUUGUGUCGAACAUGUCCAUUACAACACUAAGUGAACAAUGAUCUGAACUUAGUUUAAACAUGCCUCACUUGUACCAGUAUAAGGUAUCUAUCGUAUGCAUAAUAAUGAUUUUGUGUAUUCAAAAAGGAUAGCAUAAUAUUCAUAUAAAGCAUUUUCA
Molecule: long non-coding RNA, 1215 nt
Organism: Haliotis rufescens (red abalone)
Lineage: Eukaryota; Metazoa; Mollusca; Gastropoda; Lepetellida; Haliotidae
Exons: 3
Source: RefSeq, a predicted model, not a curated record